This 345-nucleotide long non-coding RNA is filed under the name Octopus vulgaris (common octopus). Lineage: Eukaryota; Metazoa; Mollusca; Cephalopoda; Octopoda; Octopodidae. The record is from RNAcentral.
GAUCUUCAGAGAGAGAGAGAGUCAAAGUGUGAGAGCUAUCCUGCUUACCCACUACCAGUCAGUAUAUAUAUAUAUAUAAUAAGACAGAGGAUGAUACGUUGCCAGUCGGCGAUAAGUUAGACGACAAAAAAGAAAAAAGACAAAAAAAAAGGAAGAAAAUAAUAAUUUUAAUCUUUUCCCCCACCACCACCUCCGUUUAAUUGUAACGACAGUGAUUGUAAUAUCAUGAUAGUUGUGACAUUUGGACUUGUUACGCUUUUCACAACUUGAUUUUGGAACUUAACAUUAACCAAAUCGAUGGAUCCUAACGGUAAGUGAUAAUUAUAGAGAUAGAGAGAGAGCGAG